UACGGAGGGAGCUAGCGUUGUUCGGAAUUACUGGGCGUAAAGCGCACGUAGGCGGCUUUGUAAGUUAGAGGUGAAAGCCUGGGGCUCAACCCCAGAAUUGCCUUUGAUACUGCAUGGCUUGAAUCCAGGAGAGGUGAGUGGAAUUCCGAGUGUAGAGGUGAAAUUCGUAGAUAUUCGGAAGAACACCAGUGGCGAAGGCGGCUCACUGGACUGGUAUUGACGCUGAGGUGCGAAAGCGUGGGGAGCAAACAGG
RNAcentral lists this ribosomal RNA (253 nucleotides) under uncultured bacterium. RNAcentral's name for it is "partial 16S ribosomal RNA". It matches the Rfam family "Bacterial small subunit ribosomal RNA", at positions 524 to 776 of the family's 1533-position model. RNAcentral also lists the same sequence under 1 other name. The record is from RNAcentral.